CUUCACUUCACAGGCUGCACGAAGGCUUUUACUAAAGACGGAACCAAUAAAAGAAACUAAAAGGAAAUAUCGUCAUGAAAGGUAUAUUUAUAAUCUGUUUGUUUCUCGUGAUUUUUGAACUAACAUGUGGAAAAGUGGCAGAACGUGAGAACCGUAAUGAAGAAAGGCAUCGAACAACUGAUUGCGAAAUAAAUGGUGGAUUUUGUAUUCCUUUCUAUUACAAUAGUCCAACCUGCAAUGAGCAUUCCAUUUGUGCAGAGGCCUUCCCGCAUAUGUGUUUACCCGGAGGACAAUGCUGCCACUGCAGAGGCUAAGAUGUGGGAUAGGUUCUAAGUUUGUUUUCAAGUUGAAAGUAGUUAUAGAACAAUCGACGAAUGUCAUAUAUAUUAUGUGUACUAUUUAUGGUGUUCUUAAAUUGUA
This is a long non-coding RNA of Dendronephthya gigantea, 420 nucleotides long. RefSeq lists it as uncharacterized. The transcript has 4 exons. Lineage: Eukaryota; Metazoa; Cnidaria; Anthozoa; Malacalcyonacea; Nephtheidae. The record is from RefSeq and is a predicted model, not a curated record.